CAUUACCGAGUGCGGGCCCCUCGGGGCCCAACCUCCCACCCGUGUUGCCCGAACCUAUGUUGCCUCGGCGGGCCCCGCGCCCGCCGACGGCCCCCCUGAACGCUGUCUGAAGUUGCAGUCUGAGACCUAUAACGAAAUUAGUUAAAACUUUCAACAACGGAUCUCUUGGUUCCGGCAUCGAUGAAGAACGCAGCGAAAUGCGAUAACUAAUGUGAAUUGCAGAAUUCAGUGAAUCAUCGAGUCUUUGAACGCACAUUGCGCCCUCUGGUAUUCCGGAGGGCAUGCCUGUCCGAGCGUCAUUGCUGCCCUCAAGCCCGGCUUGUGUGUUGGGCCCCGUCCCCCCCGCCGGGGGGACGGGCCCGAAAGGCAGCGGCGGCACCGCGUCCGGUCCUCGAGCGUAUGGGGCUUCGUCACCCGCUCUAGUAGGCCCGGCCGGCGCCAGCCGACCCCCAACCUUUAAUUAUCUCAGGUUGACCUCGGAUCAGGUAGGGAUACCCGCUGAACUUAAGCAUAUCAAUAA
RNAcentral lists this ribosomal RNA (520 nucleotides) under fungal endophyte. Its description in RNAcentral is "eukaryotic LSU rRNA". The stretch from base 146 to 299 matches the Rfam family "5.8S ribosomal RNA". Lineage: Eukaryota; Fungi. The record is from RNAcentral.